AUUGAACGCUGGCGGUAUGCCUUACACAUGCAAGUCGAACGGCAGCACGGGAGCAAUCCUGGUGGCGAGUGGCGAACGGGUGAGUAAUAUAUCGGAACGUGCCCAGUCGUGGGGGAUAACGUAGCGAAAGCUACGCUAAUACCGCAUACGAUCUAUGGAUGAAAGCGGGGGAUCGCAAGACCUCGCGCGAUUGGAGCGGCCGAUAUCAGAUUAGGUAGUUGGUGGGGUAAAAGCCUACCAAGCCUUCGAUCUGUAGCUGGUCUGAGAGGACGACCAGCCACACUGGAACUGAGACACGGUCCAGACUCCUACGGGAGGCAGCAGUGGGGAAUUUUGGACAAUGGGCGCAAGCCUGAUCCAGCAAUGCCGCGUGCAGGAUGAAGGCC
This 386-nucleotide ribosomal RNA is filed under the name uncultured bacterium. Its description in RNAcentral is "bacterial SSU rRNA". It matches the Rfam family "Bacterial small subunit ribosomal RNA", at positions 30 to 416 of the family's 1533-position model. The record is from RNAcentral.